AGAUGACUGACACCCAUCCAUUUGGAGAGACGCUAUAUGAAAAAGACCUUUCUGAAAGCAAAGGAAGAAUUAAUGCUCAACUAUCUGAUCGAACAAAGUCUCUGCUAAGGCCACUUCAGCUUCCUUAUCUAUACCCUUUGAUCUCACUGAUGUUUCAACUGUGUGACUCUGUGACCUUGUUACUACACAAUCAGGUAUGUUUCCCAAAAUAUCGGCAGACUUGGUUACAGAAUCAUCACCUCAAUUUAUUACUACUUUGAAGUCUCAGAAAGUAAUUGAGAAUGUUGAUGUCAAGCUCUCCUGCACAGUGUCUGGUAAUCCAGAACCAGAAGUCACCUGGUACAAAGGAGACAAGCAGCUUACUAAAGUUCUUGGAGUUCUUAAAUAUGAAGUGCUUAAGGAUGGCAAGGUUCACACACUUAAACUAUACAGGUGAUUGGCUGUCCUGCAUGGUAGUGAUGGAAAAAGACUUCAUGGAAUUGAUUUUUAUUACAGGUCUUGAGAGAUGUGCAGGCCCAGAUAUUCAAUGUGCCACAUCCAACAUUCAAGCACUACAUAGGCAGCGACGCAUCCAAUAUGCCAAGCAAGAAUAACCUCUCUGUUGUGGCAUCAGGCUACUAACUAUUUUUGUGCCUUCUCAAUUGCAUCUUAUUUUUGUUUUUAAUUACAUGGAGACCAAAUUUAUUGUCUUAACUGUAGUCUAACAGAAGUUAUACAUAUGUUUCACAAACCUCUCUACUUUUAAAUGUGAUCGCUCUAUAAAUGAACCCAGUGCUUCCUUCUUAUCCU
Long non-coding RNA from Hemiscyllium ocellatum (epaulette shark), 789 nucleotides. RefSeq lists it as uncharacterized. The transcript is spliced from 4 exons. The record is from RefSeq and is a predicted model, not a curated record. Lineage: Eukaryota; Metazoa; Chordata; Chondrichthyes; Orectolobiformes; Hemiscylliidae.